CCUACGGGUGGCUGCAGUGGGGAAUUUUGGACAAUGGGGGCAACCCUGAUCCAGCCAUUCCGCGUGAGUGAAGAAGGCCUUCGGGUUGUAAAGCUCUUUUGUCCGGAGCGAAACGGGCGGCCCUAAUACGGUCGUCUACUGACGGUACCGGAAGAAUAAGCACCGGCUAACUACGUGCCAGCAGCCGCGGUAAUACGUAGGGUGCGAGCGUUAAGCGGAGUUUCUGGGCGCGAUUCUUGCGCCGGCGGUUGAACUCCCCGGGCUCAACCUGGGAAUGGCAUUUGGGACUGCAAGGCUGGAGUGUGGCAGAGGGGACUAGAAUUCCUGGUGUAGCAGUGAAAUGCGUAGAUAUCAGGAGGAAUACCGAUGGCGAAGGCAGGUCCCUGGGUUAACACUGACGCUCAUGCACGAAAGCGUGGGGAGCAAACAGGAUUAGAUACCCCGGUAGUC
RNAcentral lists this ribosomal RNA (450 nucleotides) under uncultured bacterium. RNAcentral describes it as "partial 16S ribosomal RNA". It matches the Rfam family "Bacterial small subunit ribosomal RNA", at positions 338 to 795 of the family's 1533-position model. The record is from RNAcentral.